CAAGGACCCGCUGCAGACCUUGAUUUAUUUUGCAUUAGCACCCCCAUGGCAUGUGAACUAGGAGAUAAUCUGAAAUAAAAGGUCUGUGAUUUCCAAGUGACAGCCUUUACCAAAAUGGUUGGGAAACUGAAGCAGAACUUGCUAUUGGCGUGUCUGGUGAUCAGCUCCGUGACAGUGUUUUACCUGGGCCAGCACGCCAUGGAGUGUCACCACCGGAUAGAGGAACGGAGCCAGCCUCUGCGAGUGGAGAGUGUGAGGAGCACGGUCAGAACUGGUUCCAAUGGAAGUGCAAAUAAAACUUUUGCCUACAACAAAGACAUGCCUUUAAUAUUUAUUGGAGGAGUACCUCGCAGUGGCACUACUUUAAUGCGGGCCAUGCUCGAUGCGCAUCCGGAUAUUCGCUGUGGAGAGGAGACGAGGGUGAUCCCACGAAUUCUGGCCGUUAAGCAGAUGUGGGCUAGAUCAAGCAAAGAGAAAAUCCGACUGGAUGAAGCUGGAGUCACGGAUGAGGUUCUGGACUCAGCUAUGCAAGCGUUUUUAUUGGAAAUCAUUGUGAAACAUGGGGAGCCUGCGCCGUAUUUGUGUAACAAAGAUCCUUUUGCUCUAAAAUCCUUAACUUACCUUGCCAGAAUUUUCCCCAAUGCCAAAUUUCUUCUCAUGGUACGGGAUGGGCGCGCGUCCGUACAUUCCAUGAUAUCCAGAAAGGUCACCAUAGCUGGGUUUGACCUUAACAGCUACAGGGACUGCUUGACCAAGUGGAAUCGUGCUAUAGAGACAAUGUAUAACCAGUGUAUGGAGGUUGGUUUUGAAAGGUGUAUGCUGGUACAUUAUGAACAACUUGUACUACAUCCUGAGAGAUGGAUGAGGACUCUCUUAAAGUUUCUCCGCAUCCCGUGGAACCAAGCAGUGCUGCACCAUGAAGAAAUGAUUGGAAAAGCAGGGGGCGUUUCUCUCUCAAAAGUUGAAAGAUCUACUGACCAAGUCAUCAAGCCGGUCAAUGUGGAGGCGCUGUCAAAGUGGGUUGGGAAGAUCCCUGCUGAUGUCCUGCAAGAUAUGCCAGUGAUUGCACCCAUGUUAGCAAAGCUGGGCUAUGAUCCGUAUGCCAAUCCACCGAAUUAUGGGAAGCCAGAUCAAAAAGUUCUGGAAAACACAAGGAGGGUCUAUAAAGGCGAAUUCCAGCUUCCUGACUUUCUUAAAGAAGUGCCACAGCCAAAGAAGACAGUAGAAAGGAAGUCUCGUGGCAAGAUAAAAUGAACAUGGAUCAGUAAAGUAGAAUAGCUGCAGUGUCUGUCUCCUGUUUUCAGAGCAUAGCUUUUUGCUGUGGACACCAAAUCUUUUCUGAUAAUUCUGUGUGAUCUCUACUGCGGGCUUUGCUCUUUUACUGGAUGUUUUGCCUGCUCUCACCCUGCCAACAGUUAGUGCUCAUGCUUUGCUGCAAGUUGUGCUCUGCUAAUAGAAAACCAUUAAGAAUCUGACACCACGCAGCUAAAUGCGCUGUUGCUCACAGUAUUGUUCACUCUGGAGUGCUGGCCAAAAUGCCUCUGCAGCUUAAAGGCAAGAAAACUAUUUAAGUGUGUGCUGCUUUAAAGUUACUGUCAGCCAAUUGUUUUGAGAAAGUGCACUGUACAAAUGCAUUUUUUGUGGAUAUUUCAAGAUAAUCUACAGCAUAACAGAUACACUUGCAGGCACACAUAGGUUGCGAAUUUAGGUUGUGUUGGAACAGAGCGCCAGGUAUUGCUGAUGAGGACUUGUGAAACGUGCAGGGAGAUAAGCUGCCCUGAACUAGCUCUUUGUGAAUAGUGUUCUAGUAACAUGAAUGAUUCUUGUUCUGCAUGAAAUAGCUGUUAGAUGAAUUAUAAUGUUUGUAUUUUGUGAUUACCUUGGAAUAAUGUCAAAGGAAUUUGGUCCUCUACUUCUUGCAAUCCAUGUGAUAGAUCUCAAGACUCUUCUGAGUGUCAGGGGAGCAGGAUUUAUACAGUAUUUAUACUAUAAUUGUAUUAAGCCGACUCUAAGAUAAACUCUUAGGUUUAUCUAAGUAAGAUCUUCUGAAAAACAAAAGAUUUGUGAAAUAGUAACUGAAUAUUUCUGACACCAUAAAUACUGAAGCAGGAAUUGAAAUUACUUCUGUUAAUCUGUAAAGUCAAAGUAGAAUAGUUUAAUUAAAAACAAAACCAAACAAAUAAAUAUUUGAGUGCAAAUGUUGGUGCUGAUAAUACCAUCUUUUCCUUUAAUGUAAAAUAGCUAAUUUUGGUUUAAUUAUUUGUUUAACAGACUGAACCCGUGGAAUAGAAGAUACAGUGGAUAUUUCUUGCACAGGAGAAUGACUGCUGCCUUUUCCAUAGAAAUGAUGCUAUUAAGAACUGUCCCACCGGGAUCAGUGAGGUGUAACUGCUCUUGACCUGCCUUUUUUUCCUGUAUUUCUCACCCGAGUUUCUUUCAUACUUUGUCUUUUUGUUCAAGAUUUUGUUGUUGUGAAAGCAUGUAAACCUGUUUAAAAGGCGAGGGAAAAACUACAUUGAUGUUAAUGCAGUACUGUAUUAAUUUACACAACUAUUUUAAGGUUUUAAAGAAUCCAAAGCAAAAGCUGUCUCAAACUGCUAUUGUCUAAAUUCCAAACCUCAGUC
Nothoprocta perdicaria is the source of this 2624-nucleotide RNA transcript. It is a transcript of the gene named tyrosylprotein sulfotransferase 1, with no coding region annotated. Lineage: Eukaryota; Metazoa; Chordata; Aves; Tinamiformes; Tinamidae. The transcript has 6 exons. The record is from RefSeq and is a predicted model, not a curated record.